Molecule: RNA transcript, 573 nt
Organism: Zalophus californianus (California sea lion)
Lineage: Eukaryota; Metazoa; Chordata; Mammalia; Carnivora; Otariidae
Gene name: enkurin domain-containing protein 1-like
Exons: 2
Source: RefSeq, a predicted model, not a curated record
AUGAGAAAAGUCCCCAAGGAAAUAUCUAGUUCAAGACCAGAAGAAGCACAAGACAUGUUAGAUAAUCAAUGCCCUCGGAGGCACUCCCGCUCACUGCAGGUCCUGGCUCAAGUACUGGAGCAGCAGUAGCAAGCCCAAGCACACUACGAUGCCACGCAGAAGGGCCACGUGCCCCAUUACUUAUUGGAACGCGGGGAUCUGUGGCGGCGGGAGGCUGAGGCCCGCCAGCAGAGCCAGCCAGACCCUACCAUGCCCCCUGGCCACACUCGCAUGCCUGAGAACCAGAGGCUGGAGACACUGAGCAAUCUGCUCCAGAGCCAGAGCCAGUUGCUACGUGAGCUGGUGCUGCUGCCUGCUGGGGCAGAUUCACUCAGGGCGCAGGGCCACCGUGCUGAGCUGGAUCGGAAGCUGGUACAAGUAGAGGAAGCCAUCAGGAUCUUUUCCCGCCCCAAGGUCUUUGUGAAGAUGGAUGCCUGAGCCCUUUUAUGGGGGUAGUUAUGGGGGUCCUCACUGAGAAUCGCCACAUAGUUGCAAAGGGCAAGAUGAGGCCCCAUCCUAGAAUGGAGUCUGAAG